UCUGUUGCUGUCUAUAAUUAGUUUUGGGCAAAACUGUUUAAAGGUUGAAGUUUAAAGGUAAAAUUAGCAGCUGUCACCAACAAAAUCAAAUUGUUGGAUGUGGAUAAGAUACCUAUUUCAAAACACCAUAGGUGGGUGUCUGGAAAGUUCCUCGCAAUUUUAGAGGCCACAGAGAGGGGAGAGCAAUCAAGUUUCUAAUCGAUAUUGUAAACACUGCUGAUAUGCUCAUAUGAAUGAAUAAUUUCCGUAAAAAGAAAUUUAUCGAAAUGCCGCUUUAGCCCAGUGCUUGUACCUAUUAGAUAAAAUGUCCGUUUGCGUUCAUUGCCUUUGAGAACUAUGUGGAGUACGGGAAGCGACUUUGAUUGACUUCAGCAAGCAUCGGACAGGGGUUAAGAAGCAGAUUCUUGCAGCCUCACCGUUUCAUUGAUGACUUGAUUUGGAACGCGUAAGGAGUCAGCCAAAGCAACGUUGAUGAUAUAGGCUUCAUGGAGAAGUAGGUAUAUAGGAGAUAAGUAUAAAAAUGCUGUGCGGCUUCGAUCCCGUUCUGAACCAGCCAUUCACGGCCAGAGCUACUUUAUUAGGUGUGAAACAUGAUAUUGAAUGAGCAGAGCUGGUUCUUAUAGACACAUUUUCAAUAGCCAAAAUGACUAUAAUAAAUAUUAAGCAGAA
This is a long non-coding RNA of Dendroctonus ponderosae (mountain pine beetle), 669 nucleotides long. RefSeq lists it as uncharacterized. The record is from RefSeq and is a predicted model, not a curated record. The transcript is spliced from 3 exons. Lineage: Eukaryota; Metazoa; Arthropoda; Insecta; Coleoptera; Curculionidae.